AGUGAACGCUGGCGGUAGGCCUAACACAUGCAAGUCGAACGGCAGCACAGUAAGAGCUUGCUCUUACGGGUGGCGAGUGGCGGACGGGUGAGGAAUACAUCGGAAUCUACUUUUUCGUGGGGGAUAACGUAGGGAAACUUACGCUAAUACCGCAUACGACCUACGGGUGAAAGCAGGGGAUCUUCGGACCUUGCGCGAUUGAAUGAGCCGAUGUCGGAUUAGCUAGUUGGCGGGGUAAAGGCCCACCAAGGCGACGAUCCGUAGCUGGUCUGAGAGGAUGAUCAGCCGCACUGGAACUGGGACACGGACCAGGCGCCUGCGGGAGGCAGCAGUGGGGAAUAUUGGACAAUGGGCGCAAGCCUGAUCCAGCCAUACCGCGUGGGUGGAGAAGGCCUUCGGGUUGGGAAGCCCUUUUGUUGGGAAAGAAAAGCAGCAGGUUAAUACCCCGCUGUUCUGACGGUACCCAGAGAAUAAGCACCGGCUAACUUCGUG
RNAcentral lists this ribosomal RNA (492 nucleotides) under uncultured bacterium. RNAcentral describes it as "partial 16S ribosomal RNA". It matches the Rfam family "Bacterial small subunit ribosomal RNA", at positions 29 to 507 of the family's 1533-position model. The record is from RNAcentral.